Non-coding RNA from Salmo salar (Atlantic salmon), 45 nucleotides. Lineage: Eukaryota; Metazoa; Chordata; Actinopteri; Salmoniformes; Salmonidae. The record is from Rfam.
CAAAAGGCCCUUUUAAGGGCCACCCACACAUUCUGAAAAUUUGUU